GAUGAACGCUGGCGGCGUGCCUAAUACAUGCAAGUCGAGCGAACAGACGAGGAGCUUGCUCCUUUGACGUUAGCGGCGGACGGGUGAGUAACACGUAGGUAACCUACCUAUAAGACUGGGAUAACUUCGGGAAACCGGAGCUAAUACCGGAUAAUAUUUCGAACCGCAUGGUUCGAUAGUGAAAGAUGGCUUUGCUAUCACUUAUAGAUGGACCUGCGCCGUAUUAGCUAGUUGGUAAGGUAACGGCUUACCAAGGCAACGAUACGUAGCCGACCUGAGAGGGUGAUCGGCCACACUGGAACUGAGACACGGUCCAGACUCCUACGGGAGGCAGCAGUAGGGAAUCUUCCGCAAUGGGCGAAAGCCUGACGGAGCAACGCCGCGUGAGUGAUGAAGGUCUUCGGAUCGUAAAACUCUGUUAUUAGGGAAGAGCAAACGUGGAAGUAACUGUGCACGUCUUGACGGUACCUAAUCAGAAAGCCACGGCUAACUACGUG
This 497-nucleotide ribosomal RNA is filed under the name uncultured bacterium. RNAcentral's name for it is "partial 16S ribosomal RNA". It matches the Rfam family "Bacterial small subunit ribosomal RNA", at positions 28 to 507 of the family's 1533-position model. The record is from RNAcentral.